This 483-nucleotide ribosomal RNA is filed under the name uncultured bacterium. RNAcentral describes it as "partial 16S ribosomal RNA". It matches the Rfam family "Bacterial small subunit ribosomal RNA", at positions 28 to 507 of the family's 1533-position model. The record is from RNAcentral.
GACGAACGCUGGCGGCGUGCUUAACACAUGCAAGUCGAACGCUGAAGCUCAGCUUUUGUUGGGUGGAUGAGUGGCGAACGGGUGAGUAACACGUGAGUAACCUGCCUCCUUCUUUGGGAUAACGCCCGGAAACGGGUGCUAAUACUGGAUAUUCACUGGUCUUCGCAUGGGGGUUGGUGGAAAGGGUUUUUCUGGUGGGGGAUGGGCUCGCGGCCUAUCAGCUUGUUGGUGGGGUGAUGGCCUACCAAGGCUUUGACGGGUAGCCGGCCUGAGAGGGUGACCGGUCACAUUGGGACUGAGAUACGGCCCAGACUCCUACGGGAGGCAGCAGUGGGGAAUAAUGCACAAUGGGCGCAAGCCUGAUGCAGCGACGCCGCGUGAGGGAUGGAGGCCUUCGGGUUGUGAACCUCUUUCGCUAAUGGUCAAGCCGCAACAAUGGUUGUGGUGAGGGUAGUGGGUAAAGAAGCGCCGGCUAGCUACGUG